This 549-nucleotide ribosomal RNA is filed under the name uncultured bacterium. RNAcentral describes it as "bacterial SSU rRNA". It matches the Rfam family "Bacterial small subunit ribosomal RNA", at positions 355 to 895 of the family's 1533-position model. The record is from RNAcentral.
UAGGGAAUCUUCGGCAAUGGACGGAAGUCUGACCGAGCAACGCCGCGUGAGUGAAGAAGGUUUUCGGAUCGUAAAGCUCUGUUGUAAGAGAAGAACGAGUGUGAGAGUGGAAAGUUCACACUGUGACGGUAUCUUACCAGAAAGGGACGGCUAACUACGUGCCAGCAGCCGCGGUAAUACGUAGGUCCCGAGCGUUGUCCGGAUUUAUUGGGCGUAAAGCGAGCGCAGGCGGUUAGAUAAGUCUGAAGUUAAAGGCUGUGGCUUAACCAUAGUAGGCUUUGGAAACUGUUUAACUUGAGUGCGAGAGGGGAGAGUGGAAUUCCAUGUGUAGCGGUGAAAUGCGUAGAUAUAUGGAGGAACACCGGUGGCGAGAGCGGCUCUCUGGCUUGUAACUGACGCUGAGGCUCGAAAGCGUGGGGAGCAAACAGGAUUAGAUACCCUGGUAGUCCACGCUGUAAACGAUGAGUGCUAGGUGUUAGACCCUUUCCGGGGUUUAGUGCCGUAGCUAACGCAUUAAGCACUCCGCCUGGGGAGUACGACCGCAAGGUU